UCUUCAAUUGAAAAACCAAAGAGACGCAGCUCUGAUACCACCUGAUGAAGCAGACAAAUAGGUUGAACGGUCGAUCAAAGAACUUUUAGGGUUCUUAGAGACCUGAUCUUGGAUCAAUCAAGAGUUUCUUUCGAUAGCUUUUUAAAACCAACUUCCUGCUUGAUGAAUUUAAUCAAAUCGAACAAGGUAUAAAACAAAACAAGUAGUUUAUUAUUUAUCAAAGUUUGAAUACAAUUUUAGGCUCGAAUGUUUAUUAUAAUAAAUCCUUUAAAUCUAAAAAACCUUAAUCUUAAUUAAAAUAGAAAAACGAAUGAAAUAUGGAAAAUACAAAUAAAAGGUAACUAUCUUAAUUUAUUCCAAAUAAUAAAAUAAAUAAUAAGAUAUUUGGAUAUAUUCUAUAUACUUAUCUGCAUCAUUACUACAUGGCUCUGAUACCAAACUGCAUCAUUACUACCUGGCUC
This 461-nucleotide long non-coding RNA is filed under the name Brassica napus (rape). RNAcentral describes it as "long non-coding RNA (BNAP_LNC014472)". Lineage: Eukaryota; Viridiplantae; Streptophyta; Magnoliopsida; Brassicales; Brassicaceae. The record is from RNAcentral.